UGGGGGGUCGUCUAAGGGUAGGACAGGGGACUUUGGAUCCCCUAAUGCAGGUUCGAGUCCUGCCCCCCCAGCCA
RNAcentral lists this transfer RNA (74 nucleotides) under Bacillota bacterium. RNAcentral's name for it is "Firmicutes bacterium (sediment metagenome) tRNA-Gln". It matches the Rfam family "tRNA". From Rfam's summary of the family: Transfer RNA (tRNA) molecules are approximately 80 nucleotides in length. Their secondary structure includes four short double-helical elements and three loops (D, anti-codon, and T loops). The record is from RNAcentral. Lineage: Bacteria; Bacillati; Bacillota.